GUGACCGUGGUGUAGGCGGGAGCAUACCGGGCGUCGAUUCCGGUGGUGCCAGUUCAAAUCUGGUCGGUCGCC
RNAcentral lists this transfer RNA (72 nucleotides) under Spongiactinospora rosea. Its description in RNAcentral is "Sphaerisporangium sp. LHW63015 tRNA-Arg". It matches the Rfam family "tRNA". Rfam says of the family: Transfer RNA (tRNA) molecules are approximately 80 nucleotides in length. Their secondary structure includes four short double-helical elements and three loops (D, anti-codon, and T loops). Lineage: Bacteria; Bacillati; Actinomycetota; Actinomycetes; Streptosporangiales; Streptosporangiaceae. The record is from RNAcentral.